AGGGCACCACCAGGAGUGGAGCCUGCGGCUUAAUUUGACUCAACACGGGGGAACUCACCCGGCCCGGACACCGGAAGGAUUGACAGAUUGAUAGCUCUUUCUUGAUUCAGUGGGUGGUGGUGCAUGGCCGUUCUUAGUUGGUGGAGUGAUUUGUCUGGUUAAUUCCGAUAACGAACGAGACUCUAGCCUACUAAAUAGACCUCGGCAUUCUCUGUACUGUCGAGGCGCUUCUUAGAGGGACAGGCGGCGUUUCAGCCGCACGAAACAGAGCAAUAACAGGUCUGUGAUGCCCUUAGAUGCCCGGGGCCGCACGCGCGCUACACUGAAGUGAUCAGCGUGCAUUUUCAGCCUACUCUGCCAAGAGUGGGAAACCCAAUGAACCUUCUUCGUGAUUGGGAUAGGAGAUUGUAAUUAUUCUCCUUGAACGAGGAAUUCCCAGUAAGCGCGAGUCAUAAGCUCGCGUUGAUUACGUCCCUGCCCUUUGUACACACCGCCCGUCGCUACUACCGAUUGAAUGGU
Molecule: ribosomal RNA, 519 nt
Filed under: uncultured eukaryote
Lineage: Eukaryota
Description: SSU rRNA
Rfam family: Eukaryotic small subunit ribosomal RNA
Source: RNAcentral